This is a non-coding RNA of Sus scrofa (pig), 6715 nucleotides long. NCBI's taxonomy places the organism in Eukaryota, Metazoa, Chordata, Mammalia, Artiodactyla, Suidae. The record is from RefSeq and is a predicted model, not a curated record.
GUGUGGGGAGUGCGGAGAUCCUGUGCGGAUGCUGCCGGAGAGCCGCUGGCUAUGCCCCGGGACUGCGUUCCUGCCGGGGCUACAACCCCCGCUGCAGCAGGGGCUGCGGCGCCGAGCUCCGUCUCCGCGACAGCCUCGGCGCCCCGGGCUACGGACCCGCUGAAGCGCUUUGUGUUAUUCUUGGAAAAUUUCGCACCACUUGUGAAUUCCUUGAACCUGGGCAUUGCAAACCCACUUCUGUUGGGCCCAUCUCCUUUACACUUUGCUCAGAUUAAGACUCAGUUGGCGCUUCAGCAGCUGAAUGCCGUUGCCUCACAUAGUUCAACACCACCUUAUACUUUAUUAAAUCAGGCUUUCUUGAAAAUAGCCAUGUCGAGACCCAGGUUUAAUCCUCGAGGAAACUUUCCACUUCAGAGGCCACGAGCACCUAACCCUUCUGGGAUGAGGCCUCCAGGACCAUUUAUGAGGCCUGGAUCUAUGGGUCUUCCAAGAUUUUACCCAGCAGGGAGAGCCCGUGGAAUUCCACACAGAUUUGCUGGCCAUGAAUCCUAUCAGAACAUGGGACCACAGAGAAUGAAUGUUCAGGUAACGCAACACCGAACUGACCCAAGAUUGACCAAAGAAAAACUGGAUUUUCAUGAAGCACAGCAAAAGAAGGGGAAGCCUCAUGGUAGCCGGUGGGAUGAUGAACCUCAUAUAUCUGCAUCAGUGGGAGUGAAACAGAGUUCUGUACCACAGGUUACAGAGCAGAGUCCUAAAGUACAGAGUCGCUAUACAAAAGAGAGUGCCUCAAGUAUCUUAGCAAGUUUUGGAUUAUCUAAUGAAGACCUAGAAGAACUCAGUCGCUAUCCUGAUGAACAGCUAACUCCUGAAAAUAUGCCAUUAAUUUUGAGGGAUAUAAGAAUGCGAAAAAUGGGGCGCCGGUUACCUAAUUUACCUUCUCAGAGCAGAAAUAAAGAAACACUUGGUAGUGAGGCAGUUUCAAGUAAUGUGAUUGAUUAUGGGCAUGCAAGCAAAUAUGGCUACACAGAAGAUCCACUGGAAGUACGUAUUUAUGAUCCUGAAAUUCCAACUGAUGAGGUCAAGAAUGAAUUUCGGUCACAACCAAGCAUUUCUGCAUCUGUUCCCACUCCAAAUGUGAUAUGUAAUUCUAUGUUUCCUAUUGAAGAUGUGUUUCGACAGAUGGACUUCCCCAGUGAAUCCUCCAGUAAUCAGUCCUUUUUCCCAGUUGAGAGUGGAACCAAGAUGUCAGGCUUACACAUUUCAGGAGGACAGUCAGUCCUUGAACCUGUAAAACCUGUCAGCCAAUCCAUUAGCCAGACGGUUAACCAGACAAUGAAUCAGUCUCUGAUUCCUCCAUCUAUGAACCAGCAACCUUUUUCAUCAGAAUUAAUUUCAGCUGUAAGCCAACAAGAGCGGAUCCCACAUGAACCUGUCAUAAAUUCAUCUAAUGUCCAUGGAUCAGGAGGAGGUAAAAAGAGUUACCAGUCAGAGGCUGACAUUCCCAUUCAGUCUCCCUUUGGGAUUGUGAAAGCAUCAUGGCUACCAAAGUUUUCACAUGCUGAUGCCCAGAAGAUGAAGAGACUUCCAACUCCUUCUAUGAUGAAUGAUUAUUAUGCAGCGUCUCCAAGAAUAUUUCCACAUUUGUGUUCUCUGUGUAACGUAGAAUGUAGUCAUUUGAAGGAUUGGAUUCAGCAUCAAAACACAUCUACUCAUAUUGAGAGCUGCCGACAGUUACGUCAACAUAUUAUUUAUUUUCAAAAUAGGUAUCCUGAUUGGAAUCCUGAGAUCCUCCCAUCAAGAAGAAAUGAAGGCAAUAGAAAAGAAAAUGAAACUCCAAGAAGACGAUCUCAUUCCCCCAGUCCUAGACGUUGUAGGAGAUCAAGUUCAAGUCACAGAUUCCGUCGAUCUCGAAGCCCAAUACGAUCUAUGUAUAGACCAAGAAGUCGAAGUCCAAGAAUUUGCCAUCGUUUCAUCUCUAGAUACAGAUCCAGAUCCCGUUCACCAUAUCGAAUGAGAAAUCCAUUUAGAGGUAGUCCAAAAUGCUAUCGAUCAGUUAGCCCUGAACGGACAGCGAGGAGAUCAGUGAGAUCAUUAGAUAGAAAAAAAGCAUUAGAAGAUGAACUACAACGAUCUGGGCAUGGGUCAGAAUCCAUCAAACUGAAGCAUCUUGAAGCAGUUGAUAAAGGACACUCACCAGCACAAAAACUUAAAACUGGCAGUGGAUCAAAGCCAUCAGUUAAAUCUAUAAGCUCUACAAAGAGUGAUUCAAAUAUAGGAGGACAUUGUACUCGUUACAAAUCAAAGAAUCUUGAAGAUGACACCUCACCAGAAAAUAAACAGGUGUCUGAUAAAACUGUUUGUCUGCAACGUAAGCUUCGGAAGGAUCAGUCAUCGCCUUAUGGUUCUGUUCUUCUUAUAUCUGAAUUACCAGAGGAUGGCUGUACUGAGGAAGAGAUUAGAAAAAUAUUUCAGCCAUUUGGGAAAGUUAAUGAUGUCCUGAUUGUUCCAUAUAGAAAGGAGGCAUACUUAGAAAUGGAAUUUAAAGAGGCAAUUACUGCAGUCAUGAAGUACAUUGAAACAACCCCUCUUCUGAUAAAGGGGAAAAGUGUGAAAGUAUGUGUUCCAGGAAAGAAGAAAUCACAGAACAAAGAGGUGAAGAAAAAGAUGUCAGACUCAAAGAAAAUAUCUACAUCUACUUUAAAAAAAGAUACAGAUGCUUCCAAAGCUGUUGAAACUGUGACUUUGGCUUCUGCCACCAAAACUGGACAAGCCAAGACAUCUGCAGCCAAAGUGAAUAAAUCUUCAGGGAAAUCAACGGGUUCUGUAAAAUCUGUGGUGACAGUAGCUGCUAAAGGAAAUAAAGCUUCAAUCAAAACAGCAAAAUCUGGUGGAAAGAAAUCUUUAGAAGUCAAGAAGUCUGGAAUUGUCAAAAACAAAGAUGUCAGUAAACCUGUGAUUGUAACAGAAAACUCUGAAAUAAAGACAAAUAUGGAAGUCAAAGCCACUGAAAAUGGUGCUAAAGAAACUAUUUCAGAAGCUGCUUCGGAGGCCACAGAAAAUGAACCAGUUAACAAGGAAACAGAAGAAAUGUGUGUGGUACUUAUUUCUGACUUGCCCAAUAAAGGAUAUUCUAUUGAAGAAGUUCACAGCCUAGUAAAACCAUUUGGUAGUUUAAAGGAUAUUUUGGUUUUAUCAUCUCAUAAAAAGGCAUUUAUAGAAAUAAAUAGAAAAUCUGCAGAUUCUAUGGUAAAAUUUUAUACCUGCUUCCCAAUAUCAAUGGAUGGAAAUCAACUCUCAAUAAGUAUGGCUCCUGAAAACAUGAAUUUAAAAGACGAGGAAGCUAUAUUUACAACCCUGAUUAGAGAAAAUGACCCAGAGGCAAAUGUAGAUACAAUUUAUAAUAGAUUUGUUCAUCUCGAUAACUUACCAGAAGAUGGACUUCAGUGUGUACUUUGUAUUGGACUUCAGUUUGGAAGAGUGGACCACCACAUGUACAUGAGUAAUAAAAACAAGGCAAUUCUUCAGUUAGAUAGUCCUGAAUCUGCUCAGUCAAUGUACAGUUUUCUGAAACAAAAUCCGCAGAACAUAGGUGACCAUGUAUUGACUUGCACAUUAUCUCCAAAGAUGGACUCAUCAGAGGCUGAAGCUGAGAAAGACCCAGAACUAGGAAAUAAAAGCCCUGACUUGAAAAACAGUCCAGUUGAUGAAAGUGAGGUGCAAACAGCAACUGAUAGUCCCUCUGUUAAACCUAGUGAGGUUGAAGAAGAAUCUAUUCCCAACAUUCGAACAGAAACUUUUGUACAGCAGGAAGAGCUUUGUGAGGAAGAACCUGAAAAAGCACUAUGUGACUCUUACUUUGCUAUUGAAAUGUUGGAAGUUGAAACGCAAGGGGAGGAGGUCAAAGUGGAAAUUCCUCUUGUGGCAUCCACUCCAGCCAGUAUUGACUUAUUCACUGAAAAUGUAGAGGAGUCUGUUUUAAAUCAGCAGGUAUAUACCAGUGACCUUGAGAAGGAAGAAGCAGAAAUUAUUAACACUGAAACAGAAUUAUCAACGUCUGAUAGCGCAUUUAUCGAAGAAAGGAACAUCAAAGGAAUUCUAGAAGACUCUCCAUCUGAAGCAGAAGAUUUCCUUUCUGGGAUUACACAGUCUGUGAUAGAAGCUGUAACUGAAGUAGACAAAUAUGAAACUGUUUCAGAAUUAGUACCAUCUACUUGUGUUGUGGCCUUAGUACCAGGAAUUUCCACUGGGGAAGAGCAGGCAGUGAGCACAGUGGGAAUUUCUGAAAAAAGUAACAUGGAUGAAAAGGAGGAGAAUGAAUUAAAUACCAGGGAAACCAGAAUGGAUCUACAAUUAGGAACAGAAAAGGCUGAAAAGAAUGAUGAUAGGAUGGUUGCAGAGAAGUUGGAGAAGAUUUUGGCUGCAAUGAAAGAAAAGCCUGUAGAAAACUCAGUGACCAAGGCAUGCCCAAAUAAAGGAGUGGGUCAGGCCAAUAAGCCUGAUGAGACUAGUAAAAUUAGUGUGCUGGCUGCAUCAAAUGCAUCUAGCAAUAAAUCAAGCAUCAAGGCUGGUAUGGCCUCUUCUACAAAGGCAAAAGCGACAGCUUCAAAAUCUGAAAACCAGAAAAGUUUUCUAAAAUCUGUACUCAGAGAUGAAAUAAAUGCUGAAAAGAAACUUUCAGCCAAGGAACUGGGUCUACUUAAACCUACAAGUGCCAGGUCAGGCUUAUCUGAAAACAGCAGUAAAUUGAAAUCCCCUCAGAGCGGUGUUACCAGAGGAGGCAGUGGAAGGAUCUCAGCCCCUCAAGGCAAGGAUUCUAAACUGGAUUACAGGGAUAUUACAAAACAGUCUCAGGAAACAGAGGCUAAACCUUCCGUGAUGAGACGAGAUGACAGCAACAAUAAGACUUUGACUGGACAAAACACUAAGAAUCCUAAAAGCACCACUGGUAGAAGUUCCAAAUCCAAAGAGGAGCAUUUAUUUCCAUUUAAUUUGGAUGAAUUUGUUACUGUGGAUGAGGUUAUAGAGGAGGUGAAUCCUUUUCAAGUCAAGCAGAAUCCACUAAAGGGAAAAAGGAAAGAUGCCCUCAAAAAUACCCCUUCCUCUGAACUUAAUUUAAAGAAGAAGAAGGGGAAAAUCUCUGCUCCUCGUGUUAUGGAGGGAGAAUUAUCCUUUGUAACAUUGGAUGAGAUUGGGGAAGAGGAAGAUGCAGCUGCACAUCUAGCACAAGCUCUAGUCACUGUGGAUGAAGUAAUUGAUGAUGAAGAAAUAAAUAUGGAAGAGAUGGUAAAAAACUCAAAUUCACUUCUUACAUUAGAUGAGUUAAUUGAUCAAGAUGAUUGCAUUUCCCAUAGCGAACCUAAAGAUGUUACUGUACUGUCAGUGGCUGAAGAGCAAGAUCUUCUCAAACAGGAACGCUUGGUAACUGUGGAUGAAAUCGGAGAAGUAGAAGAACUACCUUUAAAUGAGGCAGCAGACAUAAAUUUUGCCACUUUAAAUGCUAAAGGAGAUGAGGGAAAUACUGGAAGGGAUUCCAUUGGGUUCAUUUCUUCUCAGAUGCCUGAAGACCCUUCUACUUUAGUUACUGUAGAUGAAAUUCAGGAUGACAGUAGUGAUUUGCAUUUAGUGACCUUAGAUGAAGUAACUGAAGAGGAUGAAGACUCAUUGGCAGAUUUUAACAACCUUAAGGAAGAGCUUAAUUUUGUUACUGUUGAUGAAGUUGGAGAGGAGGAAGAUGGAGACAAUGAUUUAAAAGUUGAAUUAGCACAAAACAAAAAUGACCAUCCUGUCGAUAAAAGAGGGGAUAGAAAAAAAAGAGCUGUGGACACAAAGAAGACCAAACUUGAAGCUUUGUCCCACGUGGGUCCAGUAAAUGAGAAUGUUAUGGAAGAAGAUCUGAAAACCAUGAUUGAAAGACACUUAGCAGACUUUCUCUUUAAAGCUAAAGCGCCAACGAAGAGAGUGAGAAUUGGGAAAACACCACCGUCAGAAAAAGCUGUUAUGGCAGAAGCAGCGAAAGGUGAAGAAGGCUUCCAAAUUAGUGAAGUGGAUGAAGAACCUGGAUUAAAGGAUUCAGAACCAGAGCGAAAACGCAAGAAGAUUGAGGACUCUUCUUCGGGGAAAUCAGUGGCACCUGAUGUCCCUGAAGAUUUAGACUUUCUUGUACCGAAGGCUGGAUUCUUCUGUCCAAUUUGUUCCCUCUUCUACUCAGGUGAAAAAGCAAUGACAAAUCACUGCAAGAGUACACGACAUAAGCAAAAUACAGAGAAUGUAAGCUCCAUGAGGUAAAGGGCCUUACCUACUUGUUGACCACUGAUUCCCCAAGCAUCAAGCAUAAUGCCUAGUAUAUCAUAAAUAUCAGAUGAUUCAUGAAUGGAAGGAAGGAAUGUUAAUAAGUUCAUGGCCAAGCAAAGAAAGGAAAAGGAGCAGAAUGAGGCUGAAGAAAGAAGCUCUAGGUGAUUGGGGGAAUGGGGAAAGAAUUCAUUAGAAAUUUGUUUAGGGUCCAGUUGAUUUGUGUAUUUUUGUUAUCACUUAAUUUGUAAUUUUUGUUUCAGAAGCAAAUAUUCAUGUUGUACAAAUUUCUGAUUGCCCUUGAUGUAGAGAGACUGAUGGGGAAAGUAUGAUGGGUUUGAUUUUUAUAUCAAAUCAUCAGGCAUGGAGAAAUAUCUUUUAGAAGUGUUAUAAUAAAUGUUCCUACUGUAUAUUUAAAAUACCA